GGGCGGGUCUAAAUGCAAGUCGAGCGCGCCCUUCGGGGUGAGCGGCGGACGGGUUAGUAACGCGUGGGAACGUACCCUUCUCUAAGGAAUAGCCACUGGAAACGGUGAGUAAUACCUUAUACGCCCUUCGGGGGAAAGAUUUAUCGGAGAAGGAUCGGCCCGCGUUAGAUUAGAUAGUUGGUGGGGUAACGGCCUACCAAGUCUACGAUCUAUAGCUGGUUUGAGAGGAUGAUCAGCAACACUGGGACUGAGACACGGCCCAGACUCCUACGGGAGGCAGCAGUGGGGAAUCUUGGACAAUGGGCGCAAGCCUGAUCCAGCCAUGCCGCGUGAGUGAUGAAGGCCUUAGGGUCGUAAAGCUCUUUCGCCUGUGAAGAUAAUGACGGUAGCAGGUAAAGAAACCCCGGCUAACUCCGUGCCAGCAGCCGCGGUAAUACGGAGGGGGUUAGCGUUGUUCGGAAUUACUGGGCGUAAAGCGCGCGUAGGCGGACUAUUAAGUCAGGGGUGAAAUCCCGGGGCUCAACCCCGGAACUGCCUUUGAUACUGGUAGUCUUGAGUUCGAGAGAGGUGAGUGGAAUUCCGAGUGUAGAGGUGAAAUUCGUAGAUAUUCGGAGGAACACCAGUGGCGAAGGCGGCUCACUGGCUCGAUACUGACGCUGAGGUGCGAAAGUGUGGGGAGCAAACAGGAUUAGAUACCCCUGGUAGUCCACACCGUAAACGAUGAAUGCCAGUCGUCGGGUAGCAUGGCUAUUCGGUGACACACCUAACGGAUUAAGCAUUCCGCCUGGGGGAGUACGGUCGCAAGAUUAAAACUCAAAGGAAAUUGACGGGGGCCCGCACAAGCGGUGGAAGCAUGUGGUUUAAUUCGAAGCAACGCGCAGAACCUUACCAACCCUUGACUUCCUGAUCGCGGUUACGAAAA
Molecule: ribosomal RNA, 922 nt
Filed under: Pseudoruegeria sp.
Lineage: Bacteria; Pseudomonadati; Pseudomonadota; Alphaproteobacteria; Rhodobacterales; Roseobacteraceae
Description: bacterial SSU rRNA
Rfam family: Bacterial small subunit ribosomal RNA
Source: RNAcentral